GCCUGGGUGGCUCAGUUGGUUGAGCGUCCGACUUCAGCUCAGGUCACCAUCUCGCAGCCCGCGAGUUCGAGCCCCGCGUCGGGCU
Molecule: non-coding RNA, 85 nt
Organism: Felis catus (domestic cat)
Lineage: Eukaryota; Metazoa; Chordata; Mammalia; Carnivora; Felidae
Source: Rfam